CAGCAGCCGCGGUAAUACGUAGGGUGCAAGCGUUAAUCGGAAUUACUGGGCGUAAAGCGUGCGCAGGCGGUUAUAUAAGACAGAUGUGAAAUCCCCGGGCUCAACCUGGGAACUGCAUUUGUGACUGUAUAGCUAGAGUACGGCAGAGGGGGAUGGAAUUCCGCGUGUAGCAGUGAAAUGCGUAGAUAUGCGGAGGAACACCGAUGGCGAAGGCAAUCCCCUGGGCCUGUACUGACGCUUAUGCACGAAAGCGUGGGGAGCAAACAGGAUUAGAUACCCCCGUAGUCCCUGUCUCUUAUAC
RNAcentral lists this ribosomal RNA (301 nucleotides) under uncultured bacterium. Its description in RNAcentral is "partial 16S ribosomal RNA". It matches the Rfam family "Bacterial small subunit ribosomal RNA", at positions 509 to 807 of the family's 1533-position model. The record is from RNAcentral.